GGAAGUAAAAGUCGUAACAAAGUUUCCGUAGGUGAACCUGCGGAAGGAUCAUUAACGAGUUAGGGUCUUCCAGGCCCGACCUCCCAACCCUAUGUUUAUUGAACCUCUGUUGCUUCGGCGGACCCGCCUCACGGCCGCCGGAGGACCGCUGCAAGGCGUCCUCUGGCCAGCGUCCGCCGAUGGCCAACCACUUAAACUCUGAAUGAAUCGUGUCAUAUGUCUAAGUCUAUGAUUAAAUUAAAGCAAAACUUUCAACAACGGAUCUCUUGGUUCUG
Molecule: unclassified non-coding RNA, 275 nt
Filed under: plant metagenome
Description: partial contains small subunit ribosomal RNA, internal transcribed spacer 1, and 5.8S ribosomal RNA
Rfam family: Eukaryotic small subunit ribosomal RNA (bases 1-54)
Source: RNAcentral